RNAcentral lists this ribosomal RNA (253 nucleotides) under uncultured bacterium. Its description in RNAcentral is "partial 16S ribosomal RNA". It matches the Rfam family "Bacterial small subunit ribosomal RNA", at positions 524 to 776 of the family's 1533-position model. The record is from RNAcentral.
GACGAACCGAGCGACCGUUGUUCGGAAUCACUGGGCUUAAAGGGCGCGUAGGCGGGUGCUCAAGUCCGUGGUGAAAUCCUCCGGCUCAACCGGAGAACUGCCUCGGAUACUGGGCGUCUCGAGUGUGGUAGGGGUAUGCGGAACUAUCGGUGGAGCGGUGAAAUGCGUUGAUAUCGAUAGGAACUCCGGUGGCGAAGGCGGCAUACUGGACCACCACUGACGCUGAUGCGCGAAAGCCAGGGGAGCAAACGGG